RNAcentral lists this long non-coding RNA (247 nucleotides) under Pelobates cultripes (western spadefoot toad). The record is from RNAcentral. Lineage: Eukaryota; Metazoa; Chordata; Amphibia; Anura; Pelobatidae.
CCUGGCACCCCGACUGGGUACCUCCGUUGAAAGAUGCUCCUAGCGCUUCCAGAGGACUCCAAGCACUCCACCAGACACCAUAAGCACCGCAGGCUGCAGUUAUCUCCCUUCAGAACGAAGCAGGAACAAGCUCUUACAAGAGCUCAGUGAUUAUAGCAAGGGAAUAUGCCUAGCAUAGCAAUCCCUUGUAGCAGAUUCCCCCAAUAAGAGACAGGACUCAAGUUGAGGGUAAAAAUAGAACUCCCUG